RNAcentral lists this ribosomal RNA (462 nucleotides) under Limosilactobacillus fermentum. RNAcentral's name for it is "bacterial SSU rRNA". It matches the Rfam family "Bacterial small subunit ribosomal RNA", at positions 932 to 1395 of the family's 1533-position model. Lineage: Bacteria; Bacillati; Bacillota; Bacilli; Lactobacillales; Lactobacillaceae. The record is from RNAcentral.
GUGGAGCAUGUGGUUUAAUUCGAAGCUACGCGAAGAACCUUACCAGGUCUUGACAUCUUGCGCCAACCCUAGAGAUAGGGCGUUUCCUUCGGGAACGCAAUGACAGGUGGUGCAUGGUCGUCGUCAGCUCGUGUCGUGAGAUGUUGGGUUAAGUCCCGCAACGAGCGCAACCCUUGUUACUAGUUGCCAGCAUUAAGUUGGGCACUCUAGUGAGACUGCCGGUGACAAACCGGAGGAAGGUGGGGACGACGUCAGAUCAUCAUGCCCCUUAUGACCUGGGCUACACACGUGCUACAAUGGACGGUACAACGAGUCGCGAACUCGCGAGGGCAAGCAAAUCUCUUAAAACCGUUCUCAGUUCGGACUGCAGGCUGCAACUCGCCUGCACGAAGUCGGAAUCGCUAGUAAUCGCGGAUCAGCAUGCCGCGGUGAAUACGUUCCCGGGCCUUGUACACACCGCCC